Molecule: ribosomal RNA, 474 nt
Filed under: uncultured bacterium
Lineage: Bacteria
Description: bacterial SSU rRNA
Rfam family: Bacterial small subunit ribosomal RNA
Source: RNAcentral
AGAGUUUGAUCAUGGCUCAGAUUGAACGCUGGCGGCAUGCUUAAUACAUGCAAGUCGAACGGUAACAGAUUCUUCGGAAUGCUGACGAGUGGCGGACGGGUGAGUAAUACAUAGGAAUCUGCCCAUGUAGUGGGGGACAACUUGGGGAAACUCAAGCUAAUACCGCAUAAUUCCUACGGGAUAAAGAGGGCCACUGCUUGCAAGCUCUUGCUACUGGAUGAGCCUAUGUCGGAUUAGUUAGUUGGUAAGGUAAUGGCUUACCAAGACAGCGAUCCGUAGCUGGUUUGAGAGGAUGAUCAGCCACACUGGGACUGAGACACGGCCCAGACUCCUACGGGAGGCAGCAGUAGGGAGUAUUGGACAAUGGGCGCAAGCCUGAUCUAGCAAUGCCGCGUGUGUGAAGAAGGCCUGCGGGUUGUAAAGCACUUUCAAUUGGGAAGAAAGAUUAUGAGUUAAUACCUUAUAAUAUUGACG